ACUAAAACAGUAGAUUACGGGUCAUAAUUGCCGUCCCCGGUCAAUUUCUAACCUAUAACUCCCAAGAGCACAAAAGAUCAACAAUCCCUCACCCAACUCUCAACCUCCCGGUUUAUUGAGAUGAUAUGUAUCAAACUCCUAAUCUAUUGUAAUUAUCAUCUCCCGAUUCAAAUCACAAAUUAGAAAUGCACAAAAGGUGGCCAACCAAUCAUACAAGAGAUAAAUCUAGGGCUUGAAAAGAUAACAAUAAGCACAAUCAAGAUAUAUAUUAAACAAAGAAAUCAAUCCAUUACAAAUCCAUCUAAUCUAAUCCCUAAGAUAAGAGAUUUUAGCCAAGCAUAUUCAUAAUAAAAACAAAUCCCAAGUCAUAAGAAAACAUAAAUAAAGAUAUAGAGAGAUAGAGAUUCAUAGACAAAUCCUAUAAUCUUGAUCUUCAAUCAUGUAGUCUUGAUGAGCUCCUUUCCAAGUCUUCCCCUUCUUUCUUUGAUUUUGGUGUUGUUCUUGUGUGUGGAAGAGAGAAAAAUGGUAGAGAAUGGAGGCUAGGGUUUGGAAUUGGAGUGUUGGGGAAGAUGAAAAUGUGUGGGAAUGAUGAAUGGUGUGAGGAAUGGGGGGAAAAUGGGGUUUUAGAGCUCAAAAUCACGUCUGGGGCCCACUUGGGGGAAGCCCCGCCCUUUUCCCGCGGUCACGGCCCGCGUCCGCGGCCUUCAAACGUGGGGGAUGCUCAGGGGACCCGCGGUCCCACACCGCGGCCGCGGGUGAUGACCGUGGGCGUCUCCUGGAGUCGGGGGCAGCUGACCCGCGGUCCCACCCCGCGGCCGCGGGUGGUGACCGCGGGGUACUGGGCGUUUUGCGCAGUCCGCUCGUUUUGCUCCGUUCUCCCUCGUCCUGACUCGGAUUUGGUCGCCGUUUGCGCUCACGGAUUCCUCUCGAGACGUACUUCAAUCUCAUAUCUUCAAAAUCCUUCAAUUAAUCCUUGAUUUUUCCUGAAAUUACUCCAAAACUACACCAAGACAUCAAAUCUUCAUAAAACUCAACAUUAUGGUACAAACACGCAUUGGCAAGCAAAAUAUGAAGGGAAAUGACAACAAAUCAUGUGGAAUUGAGGUACGAAAACCAUGUUUGUCAGUCACCCCUAUAAAUAAGGGAGAAGAACAUAACACAGUGCUCACAAUCACUAAAAUUUUUGUCCCUCCUUACUCUAAGAGGACGAAAAAUUUGUCUUCUCUUUUGUGUUGUUUUGCGCUCGUUUCUCAUCUAAUAGGCUCGUCAGUUCGUUGUCCAUCAAUGUUCGAGCUUUAUGAGGAAAUAGGUUAGAAGAUUCUUUAGGUUGAAUCAUAAGCUGUCAAAGAAUAUUCAAAGACAAUGAUACUGCAAUCAAGGACAUAUUUUGGGCAACAGGACAGGUGGACCGGAUCUUGAGCAAGAUGAUGCGCAAUGAAACUGUCGAUGUUUGUAGUAGAAAGCCAAAAAACUGUGGACGUAUGACAGUUGUUGUUCUUGAUCCGAAUUACAUAUCAAACAUACCUUUGUCAAAAAGAACUACAGUGAGGGGUUUAGCUGCAGCCGCAAACAUUGGAAAGCAUACUAUUGAAAGGCUUUUAAAUUCGGGAGAAAUUAGAAGGCAUAUAAAUUGCAUAAAGCCAAUGUUGACUGAACAAAACAUAAAAGCAAGACUACAAUGGUGUUUAUCAAUGCUUGAUCCAAGAAGUGGUUUUUAUAGCUAAGAAGUGGUUUAACAUGACAAAAAAGAAAGAAACUUAUUAUCUUUCUCAACUUGAAGAUGAACCAUUACGGACAUGUAAGAGUACAAACUUCAUUGGUAAAGUGAUGUUUUUGGCUGCAAUUACUCGUCCAAGGAUAGAUGAAAAUCAAAAUUUUACUUUUGAUGGGAAAAUUGAUUGUUUUCCUAUAGUUAAUCAUGUUGUUGCCCAAAGAAAUAGUGUAAAUCGGAAUGCAGAACGUUAGAGAUGAAAUCAAUCUCAUAGAUAAAUAAAGAUGUGGUGAAAUUUUUUAUGAUUGAAAAAAUACUUCCUGCUAUUCGAGCUAAGUGACCAAGAGAAGAUAUGCAUGAGACGAUUUACAUCCAACAAGAUAAUGAUCCGACCCAUAUUGAUCCUAGUGACCACCAAUUUAUUGAAGUGGCUAAACAAGAUGGUUUUGACAUCCAAAUCAUAUGCCAACCUCUGAAUUCUUCAUCCUUGAAUGUGUUAGAUCUUGGUUUCUUUCGUGCUAUUCAAGCAAUCCAAUUUAAGCAACGCCCUAAGUCGCCCAUGGUUUAACUUGUGAAUGCAGUGGAGUGGUUAAGGCGUUCGAGGAUUAUGAGCCAGUCAUGUCCAUUCAGAUAUUUUUAAUAUUACAACCAUGCAUGAUUGAGAUAAUGAAAACAAGGGGAUCUAAUCACUACAGAAUUCCCUAUCUGAAGAAAGGAAUGUUGGAAAGAGAACGUCGUCUUCCCUUAAAUAUGAAAUGUGAUAAUGUUGGUAAAUGGAGUUUUUGGGCGGAUUAAUGCAUGAUGAAAUGAUCAUAUGUUAGUUUUUUAUUUUUA
Salvia miltiorrhiza (redroot sage) is the source of this 2545-nucleotide long non-coding RNA. RefSeq lists it as uncharacterized. NCBI's taxonomy places the organism in Eukaryota, Viridiplantae, Streptophyta, Magnoliopsida, Lamiales, Lamiaceae. The record is from RefSeq and is a predicted model, not a curated record. The transcript is spliced from 2 exons.